UGUCACCCAGGCUGGAGUGCAGUGGUGUGAUCUUGGCUCACUGCAACCUCUGCCUCCCGGGUUCAAGCGAUUCUCCUGUCUCAGUCUCCUGAGUAGUGGGGACUACAGGCAGGCAACACCAAGCCUGGCUAAUUUUGUAUAUUUGGUAGAGACAGGGUUUCACCAUGUUGGCCAGGCUGGUCUCAAACUCCUGACUUCAGGUGAUCCUGACCUUGGCUUCCCAAAGUGCUAGGAUUCCAGGCGUGAGCCACCGCACCUGGCUUGCAAAUUUCUAUUUCUAAUUGAGCCAGCAUUUCUUCCCAAAGGUUCACUGGAAAAUCACUGACAUGAAGAAGAUUGAUUAAUAGGAAAAAAGGCAUACACAUUUAUUUAAUGUGUAUACACAGGAGCCUUCAGAAUGAAGACCCAAAGAUAGAGGGGAAAUUGUCCACUUUUACACUUAGGUUCAAGACAGUAUGGAUAGUCACAUAGAAAUAUGACUGGACAAAAAGGGUCUGAUGGAAUGCUAGACUAGACUGAGUAGAAAGCGCAGCAAGGCCUGUCUGCCUAGAUUCUUCCAGGCAUCCAUGCCGCAUUCCUUCCUUCUGGGUAUGGGACAGGAUCCUUUCUGGAGUGGGGGUCUUAUGACCUACAGUCAAAUAAGAUAGGUUAGAUGAGGUCUUUAUGGCCAGUUUUUACACAGAAAGGUGGAAGGAAAGCUAGAGUUGUAUUUUAGGUUUUAUGGCUGGCUUUGGGGAAAAGGGGUUCUGGUUUUUAUAUCCGCCUUGGGGAAGAGGGAUUCUGGUUUCUAUGGCUGGCCUCGGGGAGAAUGAGGGGCAAGAGAUAGGAGGGCAGGAGAAGAUCAGAGAAAAACUUUUGCUUCUGAGGCUAAGCCUUCCUUUUGGGGUAUUGUUUUCUGAGUCCCAACACUUGUUAUUUGGAACAACUCAUUAGAAUGUAGGGACUGGGGCUAUGUCAUGUAUUAACAUCUCCCAGGGAGCUGUCAGCCUCCCUCAGCAAAUGCUUCCUGAAUGCAUGAAUGAACCAAUGAGUGUUGGCCAUGCAAAGUCAGUAGUUUUCUGCCAACCCCAUGAGUUCCACCAGUCGUCUCCAGAGAUUCCUUGCAAAGAACUUGGUACUGGGGCAUGUACUUAUAAUGUCUCCUUCUUUUUCCUUCUAUUCUAUCAUCCUGUGUCUUGUCCAGCCUCCAGGAGUUCAGUGAGAAAGGAAACACACACACACACACUACAAAAACCAGGAGAAAAAAACCAUUAAAAAAUCCCACUGUAGGAAGAUUCUGCUGCCUCUAGACUUUAGGAAAGCCGCUGACCUAAUUCAUUUGCUAUGGUGGCUUUUUCAUCCUCAGGACUGGUGCUGCCUGUGUAGUUCAGCCUGUGAAGGCUCCCUUUCAAGUAGGCCAGCUGCAUGGUAUUCUGGACUUACAAUGUGCAGGGCAGAUGUAGUGUCCCCUUGAAAUACACUUAACGGUGGGCAACAAAAUCCAAAAGCAAACCCCCACAAAUAUCUAACUUAAAAAAAAAGAACUUUCUAGAUCUCAGUCCUCAUCUGGAUACUUCAUUAGGAUCCUGAGACAUCUGGGGACCAGCGAUGGAAAGAAGGAAAGAGACUUCCAUAUGUUGAGAGCCUAUUAUAUGCCUGCAUUGUGCUAAGCCCUUUCCCAUAUGUUAUCCAAUGUAAUCCCCCACAAAAGCCCUGCCAGAGUGGAAUUAUUCUUCUCAUUUUACAAAUAAGAAAACAGUAGCUCGGAGAUGCUAAGUUACUCGCCCAAGGUCACAUAGACGGUAAGUGGUAGAUGCUGAUUUGAAUCCAGACAGUGUCAUUAUCAAGGGGUGGUUUGGGAGGCUUUCGUUGUAACCAUCAUCUGUAGCAGCCCCCUUCUCCACAAUUAUCCCAAAUAAACACACAAUCUAAGUCGGAAGAGCCUACAGGAGGCAAAAAUGUAGCUUCAAUAUGUGCUUCCCUGUCAUCUCCCUUUCAUUGAGAUUAUUGCUGCCCCAAAUCCUGUCUACACAGACAUUCUGGAGUCCGUACUAAAUCAAGAUUUGUCUGGCUGCAAAGACCAUGUUCUGUCCAACACAACCAGGAUGCCUCUUCUCUUAGAUUCCUACCAAGAAGACCUUGCUUCUUGAAACCCUUACCUAGAAGAGCCAAUGAAUCAGUGUAGGAUUUCCCUAAUGGUGGCUGGCACCAUAGGUUCCAAAAUGUCACCACCAGCUCUAAGUCAUCAGCCCUUUAAACGCCUCCACACAUCCCGGGGUAUACUGACGCGAGGAGUCACAGUGGGUAAGCAUCACUAGGUUGCAGAAGCACUGGGCUAAUGGUGUGGAUGAGGGUUUCAAUUUACUUGGAAACAUCCACGGGCCAAGGUUCAGUUCAUUUUAGGUUUCGACUAAGUUUUUCCAGGCUCUAAAUGUAGAGAGCAGGGGUGUUUAAAGUGACUGUCCUGACACAGGCUGUUCCCUAGGGGCCACUCUAGCUUCCUUCUUGGAAGUGUGAUGUGGGUCCAGAGUUCAGGCCAGCCACGGUCUUGGAUUCCAGAUGGGAGUUCAUUUUUAGAGACCAAAUGGUCAUAAGUGAACAUGUCAUCUUGGGCUAGCUGGAAAAUACAAACACCAGCCCAGAGUCCAGGAAUUCAGGAUUGUAAAUAGGUGAAAGCACCCUUCACCUUCUCUCCUCCUUCCCUCAAGGUGGUUCACAUACAACUAUUAGCAAUUGACAUUCAUAGCUCUUGUACUUCACAGUAUUUUCAUGCCUGGGACUCUGUUUUGAUCCCUGCAAGUACAGUGUUAUGAUACUCCUUUUAUGGAUGAUGAAUUGGAGACACCAAGAGGUUCAGAGCUUCUUCCAAAGUCAUAGAGCCAGUGAGUUGUGAAGACGAGGGGCUCAGUCUUCCGAUUCAUGCAAAGGGUUGAUGUGACAUUUUCAGAGCCUAGUUCUAGCUUCAUUGUGCUGGAAAGUGGUCUUGGCCUGAGGACAGCAGGGUGCUUCAGAGUCCAGUCUGAUGCCCUUUGGCAGCCACACACCCUCCUGUGAAGGCACCACAAAUUCCUUGGGAGGGAGACGCGUUCCAGAUGUGUAUGCCGCCUCUAGAGAAAACGUGGCUUCUUCUGGUGAGCCACAUGCAAGGUGUCUCGCUGGCCACUGUGAAGUGGGGAGAGACGCCUGGAGCAAGCCAUGAUCUCUGCCAGCACUGGAAUCACCAACAUCCUUGAGCUUCCUUCAGUCUGAUGCAGAACCUGAGGACGUGGCCAUCUCUUGGUGGUGUUCUGGGAAAGCAGGAAGUCUUCAGACCUGAUUGUCUUCAGAUUUCAGCCAUGGGCUCCCUGGUGAGCCAUCUCAGGGGUAUAGGAAACAUGGAUGCCGCCCCGGAGGCAGCUCUCAGGUUUGCUGAAAAAUCAACUCACAAAAGGAGAUUAAUUGGAAUAAAGGCAUACAGAUCAAUAUGCGCAUGGGGGAGAACCGUGGAGUGAUUACCCCACCAUCUGCAUUGAGCGCAAUCUGGGAUCUCAGGGGCUGACAGCAGAGAAGUUACCUGAAGGCGCAACAAGCAGUGGUCCCUGUAGGCAGAAGCUACCUGGUGCCCCAGUGAUGUGGGAGGCCCUCAGUUCCUGCGCUUCUUGCUGCCUGGGCACAUGUUCCCGGAGGAUGGCAGGACCUCCUGGCCUCUCCCCUGUCUACCCGCCAGAGCUCUGCUUCUUAAGAUAAGACCACCUCUUUCCUCCAGCCAAUGUGCUGCUCUUCUGACUUCAAAACACUUGCACUUCCAGGGCUCAACGUACAGUGAGUUCUCAAGGAUUCGGUGAAUAAAUGUACAAAUGUCUCCCGUUACAGCUGCCACAUUCAGUGGGGUAGGUCUUAUGAUCAUUUCUCUGAGGAAGGGUGCUGUGCUCAUGGUCUCAGUCUGCAAAUUGCAGACUGAGAAUCCAACGAAGGCACCUGCUCUCUGCCCCCGCACCCCCCCACCGGCCCCAAGGCUGACCCUCUCCUCCCCUGGUAUCAGCUCGAAGCAUUGUUGGAGUCCCCAGGGACCCGGAUGCUUCCCUGUGUGCCCUGUCUUUGAGGUGCCCGCCAUCUCAAGUCAAGACACACAGCAGGGUGUGAGAGGCCAGGGAGCCCAUGGGAAUUCCAGGGGAUGCUCUCAGCGUGUUUUGUGAGGAACGACUGGCUCACCUAGUCAGGCCUGGGACAAAAUAUCACCUGCUGAAGGAUGAUUGGCUGUGGCGCUGGCCUUGUGCUGGAAGAGGGCCUCUGAGAGCACAGGGAACUGCCCCUGGGCAUUUUCUCACAAUUGUUCCGAGGGUUAGAGGCUGGAUCCCAGGAACCGCGUGUGGCCACUCUGUCCUUCUUCAGAGAGAGAUUCAACUUCCGGAGCCAGGGUCACCCCUAAUGGCUCACUUCCCUUCCUUCCCCUGCCAGGAUUUUCCCCCAGAUUAUCUUGGGGUUGUCUCAGCCCUUACCAUACCUCAUCCUUCCCAGCAGCAGCCCGCCAGCCCCACGCGGAGUGUUCUACUCUUUCCAAAGACAGCCCACAUUUCGGGGUCUCCUGCACCCCCAAAUGUGGGAUUGGUAAGAUGCACGCUUCCUGACUUGGGUUUCUUCUUUCAUUUGCAGUUAAAAACCAUGACCACAAAAGAGACAUCCACAACUCGCUGUAAUAGGCGCUUGCAUAAUAGACGUGGGGACAGUGUUUGGGGGAACAGGAUAGGGUGGCUCUGUUUUUCCAACAGUUGUGAGAUUCAUUUUGGUGAAGUAAGAAGGUUUUACAGGGUCCUCUAAGACAGAAGGGGUUUCCUGGGAAGGAAGCUGGCUUAUCAACCUGCCUCCUCUCGCUCACCUGGUGCUAGCUGCUUACUUUCCACCCUUUGCCCUCUGCUGAAGGGAGAGUUUGAACAUCUUUAGAUUCUUUUCUUUGCUUGGCAAGAUGUGCUGUAUUUAUUCAACUUAGCCUCAAGGUUAAGCACACAGACCCUUGUCAGAAGCCAGACAGCGAGUGUUCAAAUCCCAGCUGUGUCACUUACCAGCUCUGUCACACCUUGGGGAUGUGACUUCACUUGCCUUGAUUUCCUCAUCAGUGAAAUGGGGAUAAUAAUAGUACUUGCCCCAUAAACAGGGAUAAUAGUACUUACCUUAUAUAAUAAGGAUUACAUGUAAACAUUUAAUAUACAUAAAGCUCUUGUUUGUUUGUUUUUAGAGACAGGGUCUCAGUCUGUCAUCCAGGCUGGAGUGCAGUGGCAAGAUGCUAGCUCACUGCAGCCUUGACCUCCUGGGCUCAAGGAAUCUUCCUAUUUCAGCUUCCUGAGUAGCUAGGAGUACAGGUGCAUGCCACCAUACCUGGCUAUUUUUAAAACAUGCUUUUAUAUAGAUGGGGUCUUGCUCUGUUUCCCAGGCUAGUUUUGAACUUCUGGCCUCAAGCACUCCUCCCACCUCAGCCUCCAAAGUAUGGGGAUUAUAGGCAUGAGCCACUGUGCCCAGCCAAACAGCUCUUAAAAUAUACAAAAGCUCUUAAAAUAGUGCCUAGCACAGUGUUUACUAUUGUCACUAUCUACUUGGAUUCUCUGCCUGUUGGUCUCCACUUUGCACAAUUAUUUGUGGACAUUUGAGAUCGUCGAGUUCUCGAGAACCAGUCAGGCUGAUUUACCUCCAAUGUACGUGUAAUAUGUUUUUUUCCUUUUCUGGAACUGAGCAACAUCCUCCAAGUUUGUCCACUCUCCGAGUGUCUUAACUGCCCCCGGUAGAGAGGCAUUUAGCAAACAGAAACAGAUUACAGAGACCCUCGUGGCCACAUGCAAUUUGCAGUUGCUCUCAAGAGUGGGUGUGGUCACUUGUUGUUCCCUUUAGCCAUCAUAUCAGCUGCCUGGGUGAGGGGUCAGUGUGCCAAACGUUCCUGGUGGGAAAUGACUUGGUUUCCCAUAUGAGCCCCGACCUUCACUGGCCUCUCCCUCUUAGAACUCCCAUUAACCACCAUGUGUGCUGGUCACUGCAGCUGAAUCCAUCCACAGGGGCUGCCCAGAAAAAGACAAUGACUUCUGCAGGGCUGGGGAGGCUGUCCUCGUGAAAAUAACUGAAUCUACCCGAGUGUGUGGCCUGUGCUGGGGAAACGUGGGUGACUUGAAUGAUGUCAGGCAAUCAGUGCAAUUGAAAUAUGUCAAAAAUGGCUCCAUCAACGCACCCGGCUCAUAUUUAGCUAUAAAAUGUGAGGCCAGGUUACGAACCGGAAGCAUUUCUUUCAACCAAAGUCAUUUGGAAAGGAAUAUCUUUGACACAUCCUUGCUGCCCCUUCCCCCAUUGCGGUGUCCCUGGCUGUGUGGCUGGCAGCCUGGCUCUUGGUGAGUCGCAGCUGCACCUGUGCCCACCUUCUCACCACGGGAGUAGGUGCUUCUCCUUUGGGCACCUUCUGGCUUUGCACCGUAAAAGUGAAAUACGGUGUGGUCCUGCAAGCUGCUUCUCCAGUGAUGUGAAAAGCGUAAGAGAGAGGCUCUGGGAAGGGGCAGAUGCUGCAGGUGCAAUGAUGCCAGCUGUUGAGGACGGUGCCCUGUGCCUGGGGAAGUACAUGCUGUAACUGGAGCUCCACCUUGGUACCCCACCGCUGGACCCUCCAAAGAGAGCUCUGACAUGUAUGAAGUUUCAUAUACUCAAUUCCUUUACCGCUGGACUUGUGAGAAUUGUAUGAGGAAGGCCACUUUGAGGAUCAUAUUCAUGCUGGCAAUAAUGACAUGAAAAGCAACAGUAAUAGUAGCAACUAUCGUCAAGGUCCCAUAGGUACCAGUUUUCAUGCUUAACAGCACAACCAUCUCAUCCCUGGAACCAAGCAUCCCUGGAACCAAGCAAGAUCAGUGCUGUUGAUCUUCAUUUUGCAAUUGAGGUAACGGAGGCUCAGUUAACUUAAGUAACUUGUCAGGGGUACAAAGUAAGUAUAAGUGGCUGAGCUGUGAUUCAGAUCCAGGCCCAUCUGAUGCGAUAGCUCAUUCUUUUCUCCAUGACAUCAGGAGGCCUCCUCCUCCCUUGUGUUGCUCAGAGUUCUGAUAAGAAUCAGAUUUCUAGGUGAAUCACAAGAAGGUGACUAUUCUGGUUAGAUAACGGGAGAAUGGGCCCCAUCAUGGCAACAGACUCCUAAGACUCAUACAUCACAAGAAAGGGCUCCCUACAGCUUUGACACUAGGGUGCUUCUCUGUGCACCUCCUUGCUCCCCUCCCAUGAGAAGGACUGUCUUUCAUCCUCAUAGCUAUUAUUUUUGAAACAUCAGUUUUAAUUUGGGGCACCCGCUCUCUUCGGGAGAUUGCAAAAAUUAAAUCGUUUUUAAGCAACCCAACAACACUUCUGGGGUUUGUAAUAAACUUGUGAAAUUUGCGGAACUUGGUGGUUGAGGUUCUCUCCGUCCUACUUCCCUGGGGCCCCGAGGAGCUUUCGAGUUGGUUCUUCAUGCCCUCUUGUUUGGAGCUGCUUUUGUCAACUGGGCCCAGCUACUGCGUCUUGGACCAAGGAGGCGAUGAGCCCUGAAACAGUCCAGGGUCUCUAGGAGAGCAACUCCCAAACCAUGUUUCUGGCCCUGCCUUCCCUCUGUUAUUCUGGGGAAAAAACUGACCCUACGUGGGUGGGAGGUCCCAUCUACAGAGACCAGCCUUGUUUGUUUCCAUAGGAUUUGACUACUGAGGGGCACGAAAAUACAUAGCCAACUUCCCCUUGCAGAGUUCACUGUCUCCCCUUCCAGCAGAUGACUCCAGGAUCCUUGGAAGCAUAGGAACACACCCCAGUUGAUGACACUGUUUCCUCUCCUCUGCAGAAGAAGAUCCUCUCCACUCACAGGAAACAGCAGCAAGAUGGUUUCCAGGCACCAGCUGUCACUGGGCUUGUACUGUUACAGUCCAAGCUGAGCACGCAAGGCAGGGUGUGUUUCUGGCUCCCCAUAGCUGAAAGCUCAACUUCAUGUGGUCAGGUCUUGGAUGGCGUCAAGGCCUGUAGGGUGAACAGAACUCUCUGAGUCACCUUUCCCUGCUGUUCAGGGCCUUGAUAUAACAGACAGGGCCAUUGGCUCCACAGGGGCAUGGUGGGGAAGAAGGGUCCAGGAAGGCACUUUGCCUUUGUGUCUUGUCCUUGGUAUUUGGAGGGCAACACCCCUGUAUUUUUCUAAUCCUAUUAGCUAAGAAUCUGGAACCUGGGCCAGAGGCCUGGGUUCUAACACUAUCUCCACCGUUUCCCAACCAUGGAUACACCCUAUACUUUCCCUCGUCUGUACAGUGGAGCUAAUAAUAGUACCUAACUCAUGGAACUAUCAUGAGUCUUAAAUGAGUGUUAACACGCAUGAAGUGAAGUGCUUAUAUCUGGCAGAUAGUAAAUGUGUAUUAUCAAUUUAAUUUACACUAUUAUUUGACUGUAUUUCUACUAUACAGAGCAACUAUUGCCUGGUCAUAUGUCCUAACAAAUAAACUGUGGAGACAGACAAGUAACUGUCUCAGUGCUAAGGACACCACUGACCCUCAACAGAAUAAUGCCCCCUAAAGAUGUGUAGACCCUAAUCCCCGGAAUCUGGGAAUGUGUUAGGUUACACGGCAAAGGCAAAGGAAGGUUGCAGGAGGAGCUGAGGCUGCAAAUCAGCUGACCUUACAGUGGGAAGAGAAGCCUGAGUUCUCCAGGUGAGACCAAUGUCCAGCAUCCUGGCUGAGCCUGCUCCCUUUACAAACAAGGUUAGGAUUUAUAACUGCUUUCAUGGUAACAUCUGGCUCAUUUCUCUCAAGUUCCCCCAACUCUUUUUUUUUUUUUAGUAUACAAAUCUUUAUUCUAAAGUCAUUUCAUUUCGGCUCAAUUCCUUCUCUCUCUCUUUCUACCUGUUUGUUUGGCCUUUGGAGAUUGAGAAUGAGAAGUAACAGGACUCAUUACCCACAGCUAGUCACAAGAGGAGACAGAGGGAGAGUGAAUGCAAAAGAAAGGUACCAGAGAGGCCACCUUGCUGGCUGUCAAGGUGGAGUAAAGAGGCCACAAGCCAAGGGGUGUAGGCGGCCUGGUCUCUUCUGCAGCUGCUUUUUAAAACUCUAGGACUUUCUUCCACCAACAAAUUCUUUAGGUUUUAUCAGAGUUAGGAGGCAGUUAGCAUCUGCAACAAUAGAAAGAAUAUGUAUUAUUUGGAAUGCUUGUGUGGCUUAUACAGCUCCCAACCAGUUCGGGAGUCUUAACACAUUGUGCUAAAAGAUGCUGAAGGCUGGGUUUCCACUUCCCAAACAAUUUCAUUCUCUAAGAAAACUGCCGAUAAAGAUAAAAAACAUUACAGCCAAAUGGAGUCUUGCCUGAAUCCCAGGCCCUGCCACAUCGACCGCUGGUUCUAUCAGUGGCCAGUGUUCUGGAAACGCUUCCCCGACAUCAAGGAAGCCGGAUCCUCCCCACACAGUGAUGGGUUCUAGGCCAUUUUUGCUGCCUCGGUCUGGGAGCUCACCAUCCUCAGAAGCUCCCAGCACCUGGAGAUGUCUCGCAUCCUGGCUGAGCCUGCUCCCUUUAGCAAACAAGGUCAGGAUUUGUAACUGCUUUUGUGGCAACAUCUGGCUUAUUU
This 9538-nucleotide long non-coding RNA is filed under the name Homo sapiens (human). RNAcentral describes it as "long non-coding RNA NONHSAT153162.1". The record is from RNAcentral. Lineage: Eukaryota; Metazoa; Chordata; Mammalia; Primates; Hominidae.